CAGGAGCCUGAGCUGCGUGUCUGCAUCCCUAAAGAGUGCAAUAAAUGUGUCUGCUAGGAUUUCACCUGCAUUCUGCACGGGAUGCUACAGAGAGAAAACCUCUGGAAAAAGGAACUGUGAGCCUGUGGGAGAGCACCUUUCCCAUUUUCCUGCUUCUCUCUAAUUUUUUUUGUAAAUUCUUUGGAAAAUCCUCUUUUACAUUACUUUAAAAAUGGACACAAGUCUAUCAUAUCCAUGAGAAUUACUUGAUAACCUGAAUUUCCCUGUGGUUUAUUUAUCUGUGGAGGAACUGGUCUGGAGAGCACAAGUUCAUCCAGAAGUGUCUGUUUUGCUUGAUGGGGCAUUUGCUCCCUCCCAGAGAUGGAAUAUUCUGUCCCAUCUGCCUCACUGAAGAAAAUGAAAAGCACAAUAAGCAGGGAGAGGGAAGCUGUGAUGAUAAAAUAUGAGAUAUUUGUUAAUGUGCAUCAUGCACACGUUCAGAGCCUGCAAAUGGGGCCCUAAAAUGUAUCAGAAUUUAUUCUGCAGUCAGUGUUCCCUCCUUGCUGAGCAAUGGCCAAG
Molecule: long non-coding RNA, 558 nt
Filed under: Zonotrichia albicollis (white-throated sparrow)
Lineage: Eukaryota; Metazoa; Chordata; Aves; Passeriformes; Passerellidae
Description: lncRNA (ENSZALG00000004196.1)
Source: RNAcentral